GUGGGGAAUCUUGCGCAAUGGGCGAAAGCCUGACGCAGCCAUGCCGCGUGAAUGAUGAAGGUCUUAGGAUUGUAAAAUUCUUUCACCGGGGACGAUAAUGACGGUACCCGGAGAAGAAGCUCCGGCUAACUUCGUGCCAGCAGCCGUGGUAAUACGAAGGGGGCUAGCGUUGCUCGGAAUUACUGGGCGUAAAGGGCGCGUAGGCGGACAGCUUAGUCAGAGGUGAAAGCCCAGGGCUCAACCUUGGAAUUGCCUUUGAUACUGGCUGUCUUGAGUUUGGGAGAGGUGAGUGGAACUCCGAGUGUAGAGGUGAAAUUCGUAGAUAUUCGGAAGAACACCAGUGGCGAAGGCGACUCACUGGCCCAAUACUGACGCUGAGGCGCGAAAGCGUGGGGAGCAAACAGGAUUAGAAACCCGAGUAGUCC
RNAcentral lists this ribosomal RNA (425 nucleotides) under uncultured bacterium. RNAcentral describes it as "partial 16S ribosomal RNA". It matches the Rfam family "Bacterial small subunit ribosomal RNA", at positions 354 to 796 of the family's 1533-position model. The record is from RNAcentral.